This 71-nucleotide transfer RNA is filed under the name Ictidomys tridecemlineatus (thirteen-lined ground squirrel). Its description in RNAcentral is "Spermophilus tridecemlineatus (thirteen-lined ground squirrel) tRNA". It matches the Rfam family "tRNA". From Rfam's summary of the family: Transfer RNA (tRNA) molecules are approximately 80 nucleotides in length. Their secondary structure includes four short double-helical elements and three loops (D, anti-codon, and T loops). Further hydrogen bonds mediate the characteristic L-shaped molecular structure. tRNAs have two regions of fundamental functional importance: the anti-codon, which is responsible for specific mRNA codon recognition, and the 3' end, to which the tRNAs corresponding amino acid is attached (by aminoacyl-tRNA synthetases). tRNAs cope with the degeneracy of the genetic code in two manners: having more than one tRNA (with a specific anti-codon) for a particular amino acid; and 'wobble' base-pairing, i.e. permitting non-standard base-pairing at the 3rd anti-codon position. The record is from Rfam by way of RNAcentral. Lineage: Eukaryota; Metazoa; Chordata; Mammalia; Rodentia; Sciuridae.
GGGGUUGUAGCUCAAUGGUAGAGCACUUGCCUCUCAUGCAGGAGGCCCUGGGUUUGGUCCCUAGCACCCCA